RNAcentral lists this ribosomal RNA (488 nucleotides) under uncultured bacterium. RNAcentral describes it as "bacterial SSU rRNA". It matches the Rfam family "Bacterial small subunit ribosomal RNA", at positions 28 to 516 of the family's 1533-position model. The record is from RNAcentral.
GAUGAACGCUAGCGGCAGGCUUAACACAUGCAAGUCGAGGGGUAUAGUUCUUCGGAAUUAGAGACCGGCGCACGGGUGCGUAACGCGUAUGCAAUCUACCUUUCACAGAGGGAUAGCCCCAGAGAAAUUUGGAUUAAUACCUCAUAGUAUAGCAGUUUCGCAUGAAACCACUAUUAAAGUCACAACGGUGAAAGAUGAGCAUGCGUCCCAUUAGCUAGUUGGUAAGGUAACGGCUUACCAAGGCAACGAUGGGUAGGGGUCCUGAGAGGGAGAUCCCCCACACUGGUACUGAGACACGGACCAGACUCCUACGGGAGGCAGCAGUGAGGAAUAUUGGACAAUGGGCGCAAGCCUGAUCCAGCCAUGCCGCGUGCAGGAUGACGGUCCUAUGGAUUGUAAACUGCUUUAUACAGGAAGAAACACUACUUCGUGAAGUAGCUUGACGGUACUGUAAGAAUAAGGAUACGGCUAACUCCGUGCCAGCAGCC